UUUUUUAAAUAUAACCUGGUUUAUUGGGCUCCCGGCGUAUUCUUGCGUUCCUUCUGCACUGGGACAAGACACCACUGCACUAUUGGACUACGGCAAGCUGGUACCGUCCGGUGGAGCUUCAUACAGGAACUACUGCCUUACCUGCUGGUGUCACAACGUUGGAUGAACGCACAAAAAGCGCGGAACGAGCUUUUAUAUAGAGAAAAAUAAAUAUUUCCUCAUUGCACAAAA
This is a long non-coding RNA of Dermacentor silvarum, 231 nucleotides long. RefSeq lists it as uncharacterized. Lineage: Eukaryota; Metazoa; Arthropoda; Arachnida; Ixodida; Ixodidae. The record is from RefSeq and is a predicted model, not a curated record. The transcript is spliced from 2 exons.